RNAcentral lists this transfer RNA (76 nucleotides) under Fusobacterium varium. Its description in RNAcentral is "tRNA-His(gtg)". It matches the Rfam family "tRNA". From Rfam's summary of the family: Transfer RNA (tRNA) molecules are approximately 80 nucleotides in length. Their secondary structure includes four short double-helical elements and three loops (D, anti-codon, and T loops). RNAcentral also lists the same sequence under 10 other names. Lineage: Bacteria; Fusobacteriati; Fusobacteriota; Fusobacteriia; Fusobacteriales; Fusobacteriaceae. The record is from RNAcentral.
GUGAUCGUAGUUCAGUUGGUAGAGCGCCAGUUUGUGGCACUGGUUGUCGCGAGUUCAAGCCUCGUCGAUCACCCCA